This 1253-nucleotide long non-coding RNA is filed under the name Sus scrofa (pig). RNAcentral describes it as "lncRNA (ENSSSCG00060054300.1)". Lineage: Eukaryota; Metazoa; Chordata; Mammalia; Artiodactyla; Suidae. The record is from RNAcentral.
AGGAGUUUUAAAGUAACGGUGAAAAGUUCUCUCCCCAGCCUCCCAAUCUGACUCCUUAAUUGUCAGCAUGAAAAGAAUUUUUUAUGCCCAGCUUAUGUACCUGAAAUGAAUCUUCCUGAAGGUGUGAUUCAGCUAAAACCAUCCAGCAGUUUCAGAUCUGAGAUUGGACCCCAAGUCUCCCCCUGCUACAGCCUUUUUGGGUUACUCUGUCGUACUGACGUGUAAGCUGGUUACUGUCCUGCCAGCCUGGGAUUCCCAGUACACCUGGAGAGAACAGUAACAGAAUGGCUAGAGCAUCUUUGAAGAACUGCUUUUCCUAAUGUGCAUGUGUUCUCUGUUAGCGUUCAGCAUCUAGACCAGCGCUCCAGCAUAAAUGCUCCUUGGAAAAGCUCACUCUGUGCCCAGGAACCAGUGCUUGAAUGUUGUGAAAGAAAAAUACUCUGAGUUGGGAAACGCUGGACGGGGCAUGUCAUGAGGCAGAAGCCAAGGCACACAGAGGUCAAGUCCAUGCCCAGAGUCACAGCGCUCCUUCGUACCAGAGUUCAGGUUGAGGCCUCUGGGCCUGGUGCCCAUGCUCUGGACCGCUGGUUGUGUGCUUCUUACGGAUCUUCCCCAAGUUGCCUAACACCUCUGUGUUCUGUCCUCAUUGAAUUUCCACAUCUAUGCUCCACUCUGCUGGGAAUGCUUGCUCCUAAAGCCUGGCCAGCUUCCAUUCACCCGAGGCUGUGGCCCUCUGUGACUUCCCGAGUCCAGGCCAGACAUCUCCGCCAGAUCUGCCCGUCUCUGGUCCUUCCCUCCAUCACGGAACUCUUCCACUUGCAUUUUGGUUGGUACCCCCGCCAGGGGCGGUCUCAGCAAGGGGGAGCCGUUUGUCACUCUCGUCCUCUCCUCCAAACAUGCUCCAGCAUAGCUUUUGGAAUAUUUAACAGCUGGGUGUUUCCAUUCCUGGGAAAACAAACUAAGAGAUGGUUUUUAAUGGCCUUCUUCGUACUAGAGAUUGUUCCAGAUGUAGUCAAGGGUGUAAGAAAAAUUAAAAGUAUUUGUGGGGGGGGGGAUACAAUCACCAUUUCUACCGCCCGCAAACACUGAACAUUUUGGCAUGUGUGUGCUCCUGACUUUUUCAUGUUUAUUUGCUUUUUUUUUUAAUCUGUCUGUCUACCUAUCUGAUUAUGUAUAUAUCUUUCUAAAUGUAAUCCUACUAUAUGCAUUGUUUGUUUUUUGGUUUGUUGGUUUGUAUUUUGUCUUUUUGCCAU